This 107-nucleotide non-coding RNA is filed under the name Peptoclostridium litorale. Its description in RNAcentral is "Clostridium litorale Glycine sequence". It matches the Rfam family "Glycine riboswitch aptamer". From Rfam's summary of the family: This family represents the bacterial glycine riboswitch. Glycine riboswitches usually consist of two metabolite-binding aptamers domains with similar structures in tandem. Lineage: Bacteria; Bacillati; Bacillota; Clostridia; Peptostreptococcales; Peptoclostridiaceae. The record is from RNAcentral. RNAcentral also lists the same sequence under 1 other name.
AUGAAGAGUGCGGGAGAGAGUCUUGUAAAAGGCCGCCGAAGGGACAAACCGGUGCAUGAGCCUAGUGUAGUGGUGAAAUUUUCAGGCAAAAGAGCUGCAUUUGGACA